UACGGAGGGUGCAAGCGUUAUCCGGAUUCACUGGGUUUAAAGGGUGCGUAGGUGGGUUGGUAAGUCAGUGGUGAAAUCUCCAGGCUUAACUUGGAAACUGCCAUUGAUACUAUCAAUCUUGAAUACCGUGGAGGUCAGCGGAAUAUGUCAUGUAGCGGUGAAAUGCUUAGAUAUGACAUAGAACACCAAUUGCGAAGGCAGCUGGCUACACAAAUAUUGACACUGAGGCACGAAAGCGUGGGGAUCAAACAGG
This 253-nucleotide ribosomal RNA is filed under the name uncultured bacterium. Its description in RNAcentral is "partial 16S ribosomal RNA". It matches the Rfam family "Bacterial small subunit ribosomal RNA", at positions 524 to 776 of the family's 1533-position model. The record is from RNAcentral.